ACCUGACGCUGGAAUCUUGGGGGCUGCGGUGGUGGUUCAGCAGUGUGUGCAUUUUCAUGGCACCCUGGCUAGACGAACGCCCCCUCACUCUCCCUGCCUGAGAACAUGUCCACACGUUAAAUCUUUGGUGGUGCAGCAUUUCCUAAGAGGCUAAAGAUAGCCCUCUCCCCCCUCUGGAAUCCUCUUUCAAACCUCUGGCAUUCAUUUUUCAAGUUCUGAUGCUCAUGAGCAGUUAUUUUAUGUGUUUUGCCUGCAUUUAUGUCUAUGUGAAUGCAGUGCCUGUGGAGUCCAGAAGAGGGCGUUGGCUCACCUGAGACUGGAGUUACAGAUUGCUGUGAGCUGCCCU
Molecule: long non-coding RNA, 346 nt
Filed under: Cricetulus griseus (Chinese hamster)
Lineage: Eukaryota; Metazoa; Chordata; Mammalia; Rodentia; Cricetidae
Description: lncRNA (ENSCGRG00015037331.1)
Source: RNAcentral